RNAcentral lists this ribosomal RNA (460 nucleotides) under uncultured bacterium. Its description in RNAcentral is "partial 16S ribosomal RNA". It matches the Rfam family "Bacterial small subunit ribosomal RNA", at positions 338 to 795 of the family's 1533-position model. The record is from RNAcentral.
CCUACGGGUGGCAGCAGUGAGGAAUAUUGGUCAAUGGGCGCGAGUCUGAACCAGCCAAGUAGCGUGAAGGAUGACUGCCCUACGGGUUGUAAACUUCUUUUAUAAAGGAAUAAAGUGAGGCUCGUGUGCCUUUUUGUAUGUAUUCUAUGAAUAAGGGUCGGCUAACUUCGUGUCAGCAGCCGCGGUAAUACGGAGGAUCCGCGCGCUAUCCGGAUUUAUUGGGUUUAAAGGGAGCGUAGAUGGGUUGUUAAGUCAGUUGUGAAAGUUUGCGGCUCAACCGUGGAAUUGCAAUUGAUACUGGCAGUCUUGAGUGCAGUUAGGGUAGGCGGAAUUCGUGGUGUAGCGGUGAAAUGCUUAGAUAUCACGAAGAACUCCGAUUGCGAAGGCAGGUUACUGAGCUGCAACUGACAUUGAGGCUCGAAAGUGUGGGUAUCAAACAGGAUUAGAUACCCGAGUAGUC